AAAUGCUAAUUCAUGCUACUAACGUUUAAACAUGCUAGUAACAUGCUAAUCAUGCUGACAACGUUAAAACAUGCUAAAACAUGUUAAAUCAUGCUAUAAACAUGCUUAUCCAUGCUAGCAAAGUUCAAACUUUCAGAGAAGGCUUUGUCAAGCCAACAUCAAAAUUUUUUUACAAACUUUACUCAGCUAGUUAGAAAAUAAUGCUUAUUAGUUUAUUUAGAACUACUAAUGGAGGCUUGAGCCACUGUAGGCUGUGAGGACCUUUUAAAUCACUGAAAUCAUUUGGCGAAGUGAUAUAGAACUGUAAUGUGGUCAAGACCUGCCUGGAACUACUUGCGUUUCCCUGAAAAUAUUGCACACCUUAGAAUCAGAUUCAAGCAUUCAACAGUCCUGUAGUAUAACUAAAUAUAUUAUAGUGUUAUCUUAUUGUUAUUUUCCAAUCAAGGAGCUCUUAAAUUCAACAUAAAUUCACAAACCCAUUUUACAAAACUCUCACACUUUCUGACUAAUAUAUAUCCAGACACCAGAUGGAUUGAAACAUCACCGUGGUGCAUUUUGCUUUCUCAUAGAGGGCAGAGGAUGAUGGGAAAACUAUCGAGCGGCAUUAACUGUGAGCUCCUGGCUGCAUGGAAGCACAGAGAGAAUAUUAUGAUGUUUACUGUAAUGCCUGCUACCAUUCAUAUUCCAUAUCAGCGUGUGCAGAGACAAUCAGAGGGCUUGUGGAGCACUUCAAAGCGUGUGUGAGGAGUGCAGAGGGCGACCGCGAGCAUUCAGUGUCACUCAAGAUACUGUACAACCCCUCUGUAAACAACCGCAGGAAAGACACGGAGACGAGCCGCUGUUCUGGCACCAUUAAAAUUGAAUUGUUUCCGAGGGAACAGGCGUGAGGAAACGAGAGCGGAAAUACCGAAAGAAAACACGUUUGAUCAAAGUGAAACUGUCGUAGGUGGAGCGCCGGACACAUGAUGGAGAUGCAGGAGAACAACUGUGAAUGUGGCCACAUAUCAUCAGUGGGGUCAGAAACGGUCAGCGGGAACAUCAGUCACAAUCACAGUCGCCUCCAAUUACGCUCCCCUUGAAAAGCACCAUGGCGCCGGGACUCAUUAAUCGGUUUUGGCGGGACAAAGGGACGCUUCUGCCGCUCUGUAGCGGCCGAUAAAACCGAGCGAAUUCACAGCCGCAGUCUGAAUCCCAGCAGCCCGAUCCGAGCAGAAAGGUCACAGUCACACUAAUAAAGCACUCCAACCACGGCACGGCACACGGAGACGCAGAUCCGUUCUGAGAAAUCCAUCAGUAAUUCAGAGACAAACAGCCAUGUGGGCAUCAACCCGGCUUUAUCAUUCAUAUGAGUGCAGGUCUGGGGUGCUGCGGCUCGGCCUCCUGCAGUCGAGUCUCAUUAAAUGGACAGAUCAAGAGGAGGAGACACUGGCCUCUCAUCCACAUCCAUCUGUUAUGUCAUGAAUUCACUUUUCCUGCACAGAUUUUAAAGGCACAUGGAAGAUAAAUGAAGCCAAGAGCAUUGAGAGAAACGACAGCAUGCAACAAACACUCCAACAGUUUUGUGUGGAUGUUUGAGCAGCAGUGAUCCUGGUCGCUCAGAUAUACAACAAAGUCAGUAUUAUUAUCUGUAUUUUGUGUCAAUUUAUGUGCUGAGAUCCAUAUAAAUACUGCUGUGACCAUAAAAAUCUAUUUUAUCAUCUUAUAUUUAUACAUUUUUAACAUGAAAGGGAAGUUGCGCUCGUCUUUUCUUCCUUAUUGUGCAUAUACUCGAGUGAAACGCUUCUCAAACAAGAACAAAUGUAGGGCGGGGCUUGAUGGUUUGCUAUUGGCGGAUCUCAAGUGACAGGUUGCUCCGCACACAUCGUCAGAGAAGAGAAUAUAUAUAUAGCAACAAUUCAUAUCUUUAGCAUCUGGGUCACAUUUGGCAGGUAAUCUCAGUUUUACGUCUUUCGUAUUUGCGUACUUAUGCCUGUAAGUAAAGAAAUAAAGGUCUGGCUACUACAAGGAAGGUUAGAUAUGUUACUUACUUACUCAGACGUGAUAUUAUUGAGAUGUUAAUGUUUUUGGUGUAGAUUUAUGCUCUCAUAUGAAGAUCACAGGCAAACCUGGGUCAACCAUGAACUAUCAGACUCAUCAGCGAAGUAAAGCGAGCGAUGCACAAUUUAUUUAAAAUAAAUAAAAUAAUUUCAUGUGCCACAGAUGGUGAAAAAGAGGUGAAAGUUUUGCAGUGCAGCUUUAACCCUGUAAAAUAUAAAAUAAUAUUUAGAAAAAUCUUUUUUUUUUUUAAAUAGAACCGUUUACUGAACCUUUAGACAAAAUAUUUAAAAAGUUUGCAUAUGUGUUUUAUGUCGAGUAUCAUAUUUUAUCAGGUUUUUAAGGCUCGUACAGUCUGAUAUAGUGAAAAUAUGGAGAAAAACAACUGAUUUUUAUUCAGAGAUUCAAUUUUAAUUGAGUUAAAUUUUCUGCAGAUGCUGAUAUUUAUAUGGACAAAAAGUGAUGAAAUUCUGAUGCUUGUGAUGUAAAUCAAUGAGAUCUUUAUAACAGCAUAGCAUAUACUUGCCUAAAAUGCAUCUAAAUAUCAAAUAUUUGCCAAUAAUAUGUCUAAGUAAGAUGAUAUUUAAAUGCUUAGUUUUAUGAUCAAAGCUCUGUAGUUUUAAAACAUAUAAUGCAAUGCAAUACAACGAUGAUUGAGAGAUGAACAAAUAAACCUUCCUAAAAAGAUGAUGAUCAUAUUUGAGUAAUCAAGUAAACCUGCUUCAGUCCAGUUGAAAUAUUACUAACAAUAUCAAAGUUAUUCUCACGUUUACUUUAUAAUCAGUGCAGAUUUCACAACAAAAGGACACGAGCUGAAGGGCGUUUGUAUAAUUAUACUAAAAGACCUUUACUUGCUAAAAAAGUCUAAACUAUCAAUCAGAGACAGAAGGACUGGAGGAGAUUGAGCGUGACAGGUUUAUCAGAUCAUGUUGAUCAUUCAGAGACUGUAUCUUUAUAGGAUAGCAUACCACUCCAAUAAAGAUAUGAUAGAAAUAGAAAGAGAAAUAUGCUGCAGUCAUAUGCUAUUUCAAAUUCAUUAUAUCUGUUUACACCAAGUGCAAAUAUUCAACCUAGUUGGUAAAGGCUAUUUUCUCUCACUCCACACCAUUGCUGAGGUAUUUUACCAUAUUACUUGUGUGUGAACAGCAUCCAUCACUAUUAAACUCUCACUGAUUACUCAAAACAAAAUCAAAUUAGCCAAAAUAUUUCAUAAACACUCAAGCAGCAGGAGAACGAAUACGUGGAUGUGUGUGGGCUGAUCAUAUGUAAUCAUAUAUGGAUGGAUAUGAGAGUUUCAGCUGAAUGGGCUCCAGCUGCAUUAUGGGAUUUGUUGGUUCGUGCUCUUUAUGUGUCGGAUGAUCCUCUCUAAUUAAGCAGCAGACAAAUAAAGCAAAGACAGGGCGCGCUCUAAAGGCUCGUUUAAAGGUCUUUUAAUGAGUCUUUGUCAUGACAUUUAGAGCAGAUAUCAGCGCAGGGCAUGUUCUGUAAAUCAAGGCUCAUAAAGUUAAUAAUAUGAUUGCCGAUGAUACGAGGAAAGGUCAGUUCACUCCACUGUAGAAGAGACGUCCACACCUCACCUCAGCAUUAUUCAUCUGAAAUACGCUGAUGCAGAAGUGAGCAUGUGGAACAUUCGUUUAGAAAGAGCUUCAAGAACAUUUCAACUGUGAAAUUCAUCAAAUUAAUUUCACUCAAAUAGUUUACUAAUUUAAGGUAAGAAUCUAUACUCAAAACCAUUGAUAUUUCAUGCACUGGUCAAUUUUGAGAUUUUGGGCUAUUUUGAUUCUACAGCAUGUCUACUUUUAGACUAGUGGACAGAAAACAUGCAAACUACACUUUUAAGUGUUCAUUUUAUUGCACUUUACCUAUUUGCGACUGUAGGUUUUAAUUUCCAUACAUUUCUUUAAAGAGUUUUUUCUCCACUUCAGCAGCACUUACAAACACCAAAACUUACAGUUUUAUUCCUGUCUAUAUUCUGAAGAUUUUUACUGAGGGGUUUGUUCAUAUUGUAUAAUUCACCAAAUUUAUAUAACAUUUUAUUUCUAAAAACAUGGUGAAAAUGUAUUUUUCUGUCUGUUGACAGUGUUUUCUGUAUUAUAUGUUUAUGUUUAUGUUUAUUUCUUUAUUUGAAAGGGGACAAUGUACAUUAAUAAACAUUAAAACAAUGUAAAUGUACCUGAGUUAGCUCAAAAGUGCUAAUUUUCAUCGGUACAAAAUCAAAAAAAAAAAAAAUCGCCACUGUGAAAACCUUUAACUGUAAUAUUAACAAAACAAAAUAAGAAUUUUGAACCUUUAUUAGAGCAUAUUUAAUGAGAUUAUGCAUAAUUUGCAUAUUUAAACAUAACAUUUCAGAAAAAUUGUAAUACCAAAAAUGUUUGCAAUUCUUAAUGUAAUCAAUCAACUAGGGCAGUACUAACAUUUAACCUGGGGUGUCAUGUCUUAAAGAUGUUUCUUUAGAGCUGCACGAUUAAUUGUUAAAAGAUUGCGAUCUCGAUUCAAACACCGCAUCUUAUUUCUAAAUUACAGCUAUUCGGAUCCGUCUAUUAAACCUUUGACAAGUCCGAUCACAGCGAACAUUCAGAUCUGUGUUCUGAUCCAGAGAGAGCCAUUGUCAUGUAUAGGUAUGAAACAGCUUUUACAAGCAGUCUUUUCAACCACACAGUAUCAUUACUUCUGUCUUACAAUAAUUCAGAUUAUCACAGAAGUACUCAGAUAAAAGUUUAUAGUUCAGAUAUAAACACUGAUGUCUACGGUAGUGAUCAAAAUAGAGUGAAUCACCUUUUG
Megalobrama amblycephala (Wuchang bream) is the source of this 4815-nucleotide long non-coding RNA. RefSeq lists it as uncharacterized. The record is from RefSeq and is a predicted model, not a curated record. NCBI's taxonomy places the organism in Eukaryota, Metazoa, Chordata, Actinopteri, Cypriniformes, Xenocyprididae. The transcript has 3 exons.